This 253-nucleotide ribosomal RNA is filed under the name uncultured prokaryote. Its description in RNAcentral is "partial 16S ribosomal RNA". It matches the Rfam family "Bacterial small subunit ribosomal RNA", at positions 525 to 777 of the family's 1533-position model. The record is from RNAcentral.
ACGGAGGGUGCGAGCGUUGUUCGGAAUUACUGGGCGUAAAGCGCGUGCAGGCGGCCGACUAAGUCAGGUGUGAAAGCCCGGGGCUCACCUCCGGAAGUGCGCUUGAAACUGGUCGGCUAGAGUACGGGAGAGGGAAGCGGAAUUCCUGGUGUAGCGGUGAAAUGCGUAGAUAUCAGGAGGAACACCGGUGGCGAAGGCGGAUCUCUGGGCCGAUACUGACGCUGAGGAGCGAAAGCGUGGGGAGCGAACAGGA